This 513-nucleotide ribosomal RNA is filed under the name Pycnonotus eutilotus (puff-backed bulbul). RNAcentral's name for it is "partial 16S ribosomal RNA". It matches the Rfam family "Bacterial large subunit ribosomal RNA", at positions 1845 to 2556 of the family's 2925-position model. Lineage: Eukaryota; Metazoa; Chordata; Aves; Passeriformes; Pycnonotidae. The record is from RNAcentral.
AUUGCAGGUGAUGCCUGCCCGGUGCAUCUAAGGUUAAACGGCCGCGGUAUCCUAACCGUGCAAAGGUAACGCACUCGAUUGUCCCAUAAAUCGAGACUAGAAUGAAUGGCUAAACGAGGUCUUAACUGUCUCUUACAGGCAAUCAGUGAAAUUGAUCUCCCUGUGCAAAAGCAGGGAUAACCACAUAAGACGAGAAGACCCUGUGGAACUUCAAAAACAGCAACCACCCCAAAAUACAUACACACCCACCUCGGGCUCACUUACUUUAACGGGCGAUUGGUGUGCAUUUUUUCGGUUGGGGCGACCUUGGAGCAAAACAAAACCUCCAAACAUUGGACCAUUCCUCCAGACUAAAAGCAACUUCUCGACGUGCGAAUAGCAACCAGACCCAAUACAUUUGAUCGAUGGGACAAGCUACCCCAGGGAUAACAGCGCAAUCUCCUCCAAAGAGUCCAUAUCGACGGGGGAGGUUUUACGACCUCGAUGGUUGGAUUCACGACAUCCCUAAUUGGG